GUGGGAUUGUGUUUUUUGUAUUUGUCAAUAAAAGUGGUUUAUUAUGGAUCAGUGAGCUAAGAUAUAUAUAUAUAUAUGUUGAAAACUUUAUGAACAAGAGAAAUACAAGACCAGAUAUUCGAUGAGAAGACGAAUACGGUGAGAAUAAAAGUAGUGUGCUGCAGUCCUGAAAAGAUUAGGGACAAACUAUGCUGCAAAGGUGAAGGUUCAAUCAAGAGUAUUGCAAUCCUGGAACCUGAAAAGCCUAAACCACCACCACCAAAACCCAAAGAACCCGAGAAGCCAAAAGCACCUGAGAAACCCAAAGAACCCGAGAAGCCAAAACAACCUGAAAAACCCAAAGAACCCGAGAAGCCAAAACAACCUGAGAAACCCAAAGAGCCGGAGAAACCCAAAGAGCCCGAGAAACCUAAAGAGCCCGAGAAACCUAAAGAGCCUGCGAAACCCAAAGAGCCAGAAAAGCCUAAAGAGCCACCAAAACCAUCACCACCGGCACCUGCACCGGCACCGGCACCGGCACCUGCACCAGCACCGGCUCCAGUUCCGUGUCACCCGCCGGUCGGGGUGUGCUGCAGGGAAUGUUAUGAGGGGCGCGGUGGGGGACCAUGUUACGAUCUUGGCUAUGGGCAAACGAGGCAUUAUGAUGGGUACUGUGGAAGGCCAGUGUAUGAGGGUUGGGCUGGCGGCUGCGAUACUAGAGGUUAUUACAGAAGUCGUUGCUCAGAUUACAUCUGUGAAGAAAAUCCAACAGCGCCUUGCACCAUCAUGUAAAUUCAUAUUACAUAUACAAAUCCAAUCCAUGCUACUGCCUACCGCCACCCACCAAUGAUCGUGAAUGGUGAUUGUCGGUGAUCAUGUCCUUUUCUUCUAGUUGCCUCUUGUAUGUUGUUGAUUUAAUCAUUUACUUUUUUUUUAUGAUGAUAAUAAAUAACAAUAAUGAUAUAGACUUUAUAGGAAGGAAAAUAAUAGCUAAAUAAAAGCAAGAUUGGUGGAUCCGUUGAUCAAUUUGUUGAUGCUACAAUUAAUUUAAUAAGAGGUUUCCAUUAAUAUUGAUUGCCUUUUCAAUUAAUUAUGCAUUUCCGAUUCCUAACCUUGUCCUUCACUUUCUGAUCGUGCACAUACGUAUGCCCUUUCUUAUUAUUUUAGUGAUGUCCUCCUGUUAAAGAUAUAUGUAGUCCGCUAGAGUCGCAGUCUUCUAGUUUUAUUUAAUGCUUUAUAAAAGGUGAGUAGUGCUUUUCGUUUUCGAAUGAAAUUUUGGAGACCAUAGAUUUUUAAAAUGCCUCUUUUUUUUUUUACUUCUCUCAAGUCCUUGACUCAAUUUCACCGUCUAGAAACGCCAAUGACAAAGGCACUCAAUUCACUCAAAUUUAAUUGAGCUGUCUUUUUAAAUUUAUCUUUUAAGAUAAGAGUCAAUGAUUUAAGCUAGUCAAGGUUAUUGCAAAUGAUUAAUGAGAAUGUUACUGAGAGCGGGGACAACGAGUUUACGGAAGAGCAAAUGCGAUAAACAAUGCGAAACCUCCAAGUUUUAUGGUCAUAAAUCUAUCGUAAGUAAAUCAGUAGAUUUUUUACAUGAAAAAAAAAACAAUUAAUAAAGAUAUAUAAGGAUGUAACUGUCCUUUUAUGAUUGUGUAAAUAUUUUUAACUAACUUAGAAUUCAAUGAAGGAUUUGAAUGGAACAAAUUGGGAAUUUGAAAUGGUUAAUUGUUAAGUGAUGCAUUUUAAAAUCGUAAUUUCAAUCUUUGAGUUUCUUUUCAAAAAGAAAAAUACAAGUAAGUAAAUUGAAGGAAACAAAAGGAGAUCAUUUCGAGCACGCUUCUAUGACAAGAAAAGGAAACAUUACACAAGUAGAAGAAACGCAACGUGGGGUAUUGUAGUUUGGUCCUAGCUUGUUUGGUGACGGAUUAGGCUUGAUUGGUACUGGUCGAGCUUCAAAAUAUGCCAUAGAUAGAGAGGCUACAGUCGUUAUUUAUCUGAAAAUUAAUUAAAAUGGAUGGAGAAAUUAAGACACCACACAGCCACUAAAAUCAGUAGACAAUAUCCUCCUCCUCUGAUUGAUAUUAGGGCCCCUUUUGAGAUUGCAUUUUAGAGGUUCAAAAAUAAUUUUAAAAAAUUAAUAAUUAAUUUUAUUAUCUAGUAAUUUUUUUAAUUUAUUUUUUGUAAGAUUACUCCAUCUUAAAAGAUAUUUUGAAAAGUAGGGAAGGUGUAACUUUUCAAAAAUUUAAUUUUGAGAAUCGGUUUUAUACUUAAUACAAUUACAUAUAUGUCCUCACAUAUUUUGUAAAAAUCUAAAAUUAUCCUUAUCAAUUGGGAAAUAAAAUCGCUACAUUUAAAGAUAUCAUUAUUAUUACCAAUUAUAUUUAAAUAACAAAUAAAAAUAAAAUUAAUAAUAUUAAAAUAUUCAUUUUAAUUAAAUUAAAGUAUAUAGAUGAUAAAAAAUAAUUUAUUUAUAUAUUUAUAAAUGUGUAAGCAAAUUUUAUUUAUCAUUACAUCCAUUUCAGUUAUUUGUAUUUUUACAACAGUUUAACAAUAAAUUUACCAAACACUUAUGACUGUUUUUGAAGCACACGAAAUUUUUUUAAAUAAAUUUACCAAAUAUUUAACAGACUCUCUUCACAAUUAUUUAUUACUACAGCAUAGUUAACAACGAUGAUUUUAAAAACUAUAAUAUUACCAAACUGACUGUAAGUGUUAAAUUUUCACUUGUUAUUGGCAUGCAUGGACCUGGACCCUCUCUAUAUGUAUAUACAUCUUAUAUAUGCUAGUUGCUACUUUUGUUAUAGUUAAUGUAUUUGACUAAGUAAACUAUAUAUUAAAAGGAAAAUGAAGGUGGAGAUGAAGGCAGAUGCAUGCCUGGAUGGAAAGGAAUCAUACGUAUAUACAAAUUCUAAAUUCCUUUAUUAUUAAUUAUUAAGCUGCUGCUUUGUUGGUCGGUACCCCAUCUAAAUCCAAUUGAAUUCAGUACACACACAUGGUCAUGCAUGCAUUUCCAGUUCAAAUCCAUGUGCUAAUUUAAGUAGAAGAUUGUUCAAUUAUUUUAAUGAACUCCCUUUUGGUGAUUUUAAUAUUUGAGCAAUCCAUUGAGGAGGUUUUACUCCUUUUAUGGUUUAAUUGCUACUAUAUAUAUAUAUAUAUAUAUUUUUAUUUUUUUUUUGCUAACUUUCGAAUACAAUAAAAUCAUUGGCGAUGUGGUUUAAUGGCAACGAGGCCCCUUUUAAUACAAAAAUUCGUGACGUGUUUAACUGGAUCGGGCCUCUGGGAAUCUAGCCCAAAUGAAUUAGAUUCAUUAAUUUCUUUCUUUCCUAUUUUGUGGGGUGGGAUAUGGCGGGAAAAUAUAUUAGUAAAUCCAAACAAUAAUACUAAAUGGGGAAAAUUUGUGGUGCAACUGUGGUACCGUGUCACAUUCACAUCCAGCUGUUGGAUUCUAAUGGACUCCACUCAUCUAAGUAUAUCCAACGGCUGGAUGCAGCUGUGGCACAGUACCACAGUUGCACCAUAGCCGGACCCUACUAAAUGCAGCUAAAUUAUCUCAAUAUUUCAUUCCAAUUGCUAAGUGAUGAAUAUCAUUAUCUGUGUUCGGGUUGAUUUUUGGACCUAUAAAUAAAGGACAUAUAGAUGAUUAUAUUAUUUAGACACAAUAUUUAGAGCAAUAUAAGGAUGUCACAAGAAAGAAUUUAUUCCAUUUGAUGAGCUUUAAAAUUUAGAGUAAUAAUAUAGCCAUAAAUUUUUGUACAAAUUUAUUUUGUACAAACUGAUAUGGUAUAAUAAAAUUGAUUGAAUUAAAUAUUUCUUGGCCCACAUGAUCUAUUUUUAUUAUUUUGUAUUUUUAUUCAACCAAUGAAUUAAUGUCAAAUCAGUUUGUAAAGAGAUAAGUUUGUACAAGAAUUUAUGGUUGUAUCAUUGAGAUAAGACUUUUAAAACAUAUUUUUGGAAAGAAUAGUACAAAAAAAAUAAUUUUCUACCUUUUCUUAAAUGCGACAUAUAACUUAAAGAUAUUCUCCCUUUUUUUUUUAACCUAAGCAUGCCAUUUAACUCUAAAAAUUUAUCCACUCUCUUUACCACUAGCCUCUGCCAUAUAAAUGCCAUAUUUUUCAAAAUGGAGAGUGUCCUUUAUGUUUGGGGCUCCUUUACCUCCUUCUUCGAUCAUCAUCCACUUUUUUGUUUUUUGGAGGCUAUUUCUACCAUUUUCUAUUCUUCAUUUUUAUCAUCUCUUCCACCGUAUUGUUAUCACUCUAGCUCUACAUCUUCAUUCACUAUCUCUAUCUUUAACAACGCCCACAUCUCCAUACAAACAUCCAACUCAUUUUAUGUAUAUCUGCUAAUCUCACGUGAAUGUAAGCCAAAAGAUGAACCAUAUAGUGUAUGUGUGCUCUUUAAAUUUGUGUUUGUUUUACUAUAUCUACAAUUUGAAGUUCAAAUCAUAUUUCAAAUGUAAGCCACAUGAAGUACUUUAGUUUUCCUUGUGAUCUCUUUUGAGCUCCACUUAACUCACUUGAGUUAUCCAACUCUCCAUAUUGCUUAACCUAUCAAUGGCUUACCUUGUUGUUCCUCCACUAAAUAAAACAAAUCUUCAUAUUGCUUAACCUAUCAAUUUAUGGAGGUGAAUGUGGCUGAUUCAGGGGCUGCCGUGACUGGAGAAAGACGCCAGCGAGGAGAGGAGACUCCAGCGGUGGUAGAACACAACUGGCUGCCCGUGCAGCCAUGGGCGGCUGAUCAAAGUUUACAUUCGGAUCCGGUAUAGAAUUUCCAUUUGGGUCUAGAAUCGGAAAAGUCGAACCUAGACCCGAACCGGAACUCGAAUUUUGCCAUCCCUAUUCUAAAGAAGGAUUCAAAAAAAUUAAAAUAACCUGCAUUGAGUUCGAAUUAAUUCCAACCACAAAUUCUUCAAAACCUUCUGACAGCGUGAUCAACUGCCAAAAGUUAUGCAUAGAAGGCUAUUUGUUGCCCUGCCCCUAAAAAUGGUCAAAAUUUCCAAGUUAGGAGCCUUCAUAGCAGCGAAAAAUAGUCCUGAACGCCGAGGGACCAGGAUUAAUUUUCCUUAAAAAAGACCAUCCGCAUUGACAUUCAUCCAGUCUACAUGAGGGCGAAAAUACGUACUUAAUGCACGCAUUGUGUUAUUCUUUGAUCAUCGUGCACAUCCUCCACAUAAAACUAAUUAAAAGUAGUGUAUAAGAAAACUAUCUUAUACUAAUGAUUGGGUAAGAUUUCCACACAUCUGAUGCUCGAUCACAAGAAGGCAGGAUACUAAUGGUGAAGAUAAAUUAUAAUUUGGAUUAUUUGAAUAUUUAACAUAGAUAGCCAAUCAGGGAAAAGAAAAAAAAAAAAAAAGAAGAUAGAUGGAGAUCAAGACAGAUGGUUAAGUAGACAAAAUUAAAUAAUCAACUCUACAAAUGUGAUAACUUGCUUAUCAUUAUGACUUGUUCAACAAAUUUAAAGAAGUCUCUAUCUGUGGCAUUAUUUAUCUGGAGCUCUUCGAGAAGGUUUCAAUCGAUCCUUAACUUUUUAUUAAUUUGUGGCAUUAUUUAUUAAAUAUUUAGGUUAUAACGAUAAUGAUGUCGACUUCUUUCUUUUUUUCAAAAAACUAAAUUUAAAGAUAGGAAAAAAAAAUCGUAAAAGCUUGUUAAAAUCUGAAAGGAUGCGAGUAAAAUGAACUCUUUCUGAAGAAUUUAUAAGUGCGGCAUUAUUAAAGGUUGGAAAUUAUAUAGUUAAUUAGAAUAUUCGGAGGAGGACGACGACUGAACUGUGAUUGACUCACUAAUGAGAGAUUGAUUAAAAAUAAAAUUUAAUGUACAAAAAGGGAAAAAAAAAAAAAGAAAGAAAAGAAAAGAAAACUGACAUUAAACGAUAAUAUAUUAAGAAAGAAAAGAAAAGAAAACUGACAUUAAAUGUACAAAAAGGGAAAAAAAAAAAAAGAAAGAAAAGAAAAGAAAACUGACAUUAAACGAUAAUAUAUUAAAGGAGUAGUAGUGUUCUAAAUUUUAACAGCUGUAAUCAGAAGAAAUCUGCGAUAUGAUGCAUGUUCCAGUGGACAAAAUGAACUUGUAUCCAGAGAAAUAUGAACAUAUGUUUACCUAAUAUUCUACCUACGUGUCUGACGACCCCAAAUUUGUUUGCUUUGACAACUAAUACUGUACGUGUAUGCGAAUGUGAGCGUGACGUCUUCUUAAGAUGUAUAUAGUUUUCGGCCAUUUCAUUCAGUAAUAUAACGUCAAACGAUUAAUCAUCAGUAGCCGAGUAUUCAGAUCGGAUCACAAGACCAUGCCUGACAAGGUUUGCAAAUCUUUUUACUCAUCUUUUACUUUGCUAGAUCUGCUCUUUCUUCAUUCCCCAAUCCCCAUUUUGUUCAAUUUCAUUUCUCUAGCUACGACGAUCACUUUAGUUUCCUGUGAUGAAUCACAUAAAUACAAAAUGUUAAUGAUUGUGUGUGUGUGUGUGUAUCACACAUGCUGUUUACUUUGUGGCAGCUGCAGGUUACAACAAUGGUGCUGAAGGUUGACCUUCAGUGCUCAAAGUGCUAUAAGAAAGUCAAGAAAGUACUUUCCAAAUUCCCACGUAAGUAAUUUAAUUGAAUUUCUCUGCUAUGUCUACACAUAUAUAUUUUGUGAAAAUGAAAAAUUAAUGUUAUUGAUGAUCAGUGGGCUAAGGGUCGUAUGUAUGUAUGUAUGUUGUGUUGAAUUUUGUGAACAAGAGAAAUACAAGACCAGAUAUACGAUGAGAAGCAAAACAAAGUGACAAUCAAAGUCGUUUGCUGCUGUCCCGAAAAGAUGAGGGACAAGAUAUGCUGCAAGGGUGAUGGCGUAAUCAAGAGCAUUGAAAUCAAAUCACCUGAUGAUCAGAAGAAGAAGAAGGAGGAGCCUGCUGAUAAGAAAGAGCCCGAAAAGAAGAAAGAAACACCUCAGACUGAGAAGAAAAAAGAAAAAGCAGAAGAGUCGAAACCUAAAAAUAAGGAGCCUGCGCCUGAGAAAGGAAAAGAAAAAGAUCAGCCAGAGAAAAAGAAAGAACCUAAAGAUACACCUAAGCCUAAGGUUGAC
This 7028-nucleotide long non-coding RNA is filed under the name Citrus sinensis (sweet orange). Its description in RNAcentral is "long non-coding RNA (CSIN_LNC000491)". Lineage: Eukaryota; Viridiplantae; Streptophyta; Magnoliopsida; Sapindales; Rutaceae. The record is from RNAcentral.